UACGGGGGGGGCAAGCGGUGUUCGGAAUUACUGGGCGUAAAGGGCUCGUAGGCGGCCAACUAAGUCGGAUGUGAAAUCCCCAGGCUUAACCUGGGAACUGCAUCCGAUACUGGAUGGCUUGAAUCCGGGAGAGGGAUGCAGAAUUCCAGGUGUAGCGGUGAAAUGCGUAGAUAUCUGGAGGAAUACCGGUGGCGAAGGCGGCAUCCUGGACCGGCAUUGACGCUGAGGAGCGAAAGUGUGGGGAGCGAACAGG
RNAcentral lists this ribosomal RNA (253 nucleotides) under uncultured bacterium. RNAcentral describes it as "partial 16S ribosomal RNA". It matches the Rfam family "Bacterial small subunit ribosomal RNA", at positions 524 to 776 of the family's 1533-position model. The record is from RNAcentral.